This is a long non-coding RNA of Pseudonaja textilis, 283 nucleotides long. RefSeq lists it as uncharacterized. The record is from RefSeq and is a predicted model, not a curated record. NCBI's taxonomy places the organism in Eukaryota, Metazoa, Chordata, Lepidosauria, Squamata, Elapidae.
CCUAACAAACUCUCCCGGUUCCUCUUCCUAGCUUGCUGGGACAUGGUAUCCUCUGGCAAACAUUGUGAUUGAGUAUCAGGCCCCACCAUAUACAUUAAAGGUCGUACCGGGGAGAAGUCUGGCAUACAGCUAUCAGUUCCGUCUUAAUGGCAGAUGCAUUCCAAAAGAGCUCAAGUUCGUUGAACAGAUAACAGCAGGCGAAUUCAAGACCUUAAGCCCCGUUUUCGUUCAAAUACUAAGUACGGACUAUAGCACCUACUGCAUCUCUUACAUCGAGCGAGGG